ACUCCUACGGGAGGCAGCAGUGGGGAAUAUUGCACAAUGGGCGCAAGCCUGAUGCAGCCAUGCCGCGUGUGUGAAGAAGGCCUUCGGGUUGUAAUGCANUUCAUGUGUGAGGAAGGUGGUGUCGUUAAUAGCGGCAUCAUUUGACGUUAGCACAGAAGAAGCACCGGCUAACUCCGUGCCAGCAGCCGCGGUAAUACGGA
Molecule: ribosomal RNA, 200 nt
Filed under: uncultured bacterium
Lineage: Bacteria
Description: partial 16S ribosomal RNA
Rfam family: Bacterial small subunit ribosomal RNA
Source: RNAcentral